This 330-nucleotide unclassified non-coding RNA is filed under the name soil metagenome. RNAcentral's name for it is "partial contains 5.8S ribosomal RNA, internal transcribed spacer 2, and large subunit ribosomal RNA". The stretch from base 1 to 120 matches the Rfam family "5.8S ribosomal RNA", at positions 35 to 154 of the family's 154-position model. The record is from RNAcentral.
GAUGAAGAACGCAGCGAAAUGCGAUAAGUAAUGUGAAUUGCAGAAUUCAGUGAAUCAUCGAAUCUUUGAACGCACAUUGCGCCCCCUGGUAUUCCGGGGGGCAUGCCUGUUCGAGCGUCAUUUCACCACUCAAGCCUCGCUUGGUAUUGGGCAACGCGGUCCGCCGCGUGCCUCAAAUCGACCGGCUGGGUCUUCUGUCCCCUAAGCGUUGUGGAAACUUUCGCUAAAGGGUGUUCGGGAGGCUACGCCGUAAAACAACCCCAUUUCUAAGGUUGACCUCGGAUCAGGUAGGGAUACCCGCUGAACUUAAUCAUAUCAAUAAGCGGAGGA